UGAAUAUCUGGCAUUAACAUAUUUUCAUCUUGUAAUUUUCAAUGGACUUUCAUAUCUAAUUUAAUUCUCAUAGCCUUUUCAAAUAUGUUAAUAAUUCACUAUCUCUCAAUUAUAUUGAAAAGAACUUGAUUAUUUCAGGCCAUUUAGCCAGUCCAGGGUUGCAUAGCUCGGCAAUCAAAGAGCGAGGGCCAGAGAUUGGAAAUUCUGCAUCACUGGGCUAGAGCACUCUUCAAUAAACAAUUCCUUCUAAGAGAUGGAAAUGUGUCAGAGAUGGUGAAACUUAGGAAGAAGAUUGGAGUAAAUAAUAUAUUAUUUCCAAAAUCUCAACGUGCCAGAUUUGAUAUAAGGAUAUCAGUUUAAAACUAACUUCAAUUUUCAUUUAGUGCAUGAGUUAGAACAGGCAGGUUUACUUCUUUCGACACAGUAAUAGAGACAGUAUGUUGUGAUGAUUAAAAGCAUGGACCCUAGAGUCAGACUGCCUGAGUUUAAAUUUGGAUCUAUCACUUAAUAUUUGUAGCACUGUAGCAAAAUUUCAGUAGUUCUAUGGUUUCAUUUUCUGAUAUGUAAAUUACAUUUUAUAGGAACAUUGCCUGCAGGUAAUUAUGAGGAUUAAAUGAGCAAUUACACAUAAAAUAUUUUGAAGAGUGCUCUUCACAUAGCAAACAUUCAAUAAAUAUUAAGUAUUAUUAUUCAACCAUUGAGAAAAGUUUGAGCUUCCUUAGACAUUAGUAUUUAUUAUUUUAUUAUCAACCAAGUUUCUCUUUUUGCUCUAAAAAAGGGUUAAUUAAAAAAGAAAGCAUCAUUGAGCUACUCCAACUCUUUUGGAGUUCUCUUUUGCUGAAAUAUAUGUGGCUUCCUCCUUCGAAACUAUCAAUUGUCAUUGAGUGACCGUUCAUCUAUACAUGUCUACAAAUAUGAGACAUAAGAUUGUCAGUUGAUCUGGGAGUGGAGCAAUGGCCACUGCUGUGAAGGUGAGGGAAAGAUAAAAUUAUAUCCAGUGAUUACUGUGCCAUCAUCUCUUUUGAUAAUUAUGAAGAAUAACUAUUAAAAAGUAAGCAUCAAAGAAAAUCUUAUCUUAGGGACUAUGCUUAAAUAAGCUUGGGAUCUGAGUCCUAGGGAACAAUCACUUCUUUGUGCAAGCUGUUUUCUGCUAAACCCCUUAUUUCCAAUCACAGAAUUAAAGGCAAUAAAGAAAUCAAAUUAUAUGAAGAAUAUUUACCUGUAAGAAUCUUUCAAGGAUGUUACACACUUCAAGACUGAAAGAAACUUUCAGGAUUCAAAAAUGAAAUAUGAAAGCCAAAUGGAACAAUGGAAGGAGAAAAGAAUAGAAGAAACAAAAAAUUAAGUGGAGUCCAAAGAGGAGCCAAAGAAUCUGUUCUUCUAUGCAAUUUUCAGGCCAUAGAUCAAGGGAUUCAGCCUGGGAAUCACUGCAGUGUAAAACACCAUGGCUGCUUUGCCAGUAUCCACACUGUUGGAAAAACUGGGCCUGCAAUAAGUGAAAAGUAUGAUUCCCUGCAAGACAGCAAUCACUGUGUGGUGGGAGGCACAGGUAGAAAAGGCUUCGCACCUUCCCUCUGCAGAGCGUAUACUCAGGAUGGCGAUGAGAAUAAACCAGUAGGAAGUGAGGAUGAUCACGAUGGUGACAAUUUCACUGAAAGUGGCCCCAAUUAAUAAUGGACAUGACAUAGCAAGCAAGAGUAAAGAGAGGGGGUAAAUCACAAAAGAAGUGGUGACUACAUUUGACCUACAGGAUGGGAUUUCAAGAGCUAAACACAAGUAAACCAAAGAACACACAGUUCCACAGAUGUAGAAGCUAGAGACCAGGACCAUACAAAAUUUCUGGGACAUGGAGAGCAUGUACAGCAGUGAACUACAGAUGGGCAAAAAGCAGUCACAAGCCAUCACAGUCAGCAGGAAGACCUCAGUGACUGCACACAUGCAAAGCAAAUAGAAUUGCACCAUGCAUCCCAGGAAGGAAACUGAUUUUUCCUUGUUUAAGAUAUUGGAAAGCAUCUUUGGCACGAUGAUCACGGAAUUGCAAAAAUCCACAAAGGACAAGUGGGUGAGAAAAAAGUACAUGUAAGUGUGAAGUCCAGAGCUGACCUGAUUCAGUGCAAUCAUGCCCAGGUUGGCCCAAACUGUGACUCCAUAUACGAGAAGGAACAGAGGGAGAGAAAGACUCUCAGCUCAGGGUCAUGUGAUACUCCAGGAAGAAUGAACUCUGUCACAGUGGUACCGUUCCCCUCGCUCAUUUCCACCAUAUGUCAGGAUGGGAAACCAAACGAUGUUUUGCGUUUCUUCUAAAAAGAGAACAAGAGAGAAAACAACACAUUUAUAUUAACUUUGGAAAAAUAUAACAUUGACAGUGAUUUAAGAUACAGUUGUCAAAUAAUUCAAAAUUUUCAAUGUCUCAGUGGAUCUCACUGAUCAAAAUAAGUUUAAGUAUCAGCAGAAACCUAUAUGAUUCCCAACUGUUAUCUGCUAUGAUAAAUUGGGUUGAUGAAUUAAAUUAGGUGUUUUGUUGGAAUCUGAAACAGGUUCAAUGAUUUUACAGCCUCAUGGAGAUAAACUACUGUUCUUUGAAAAAUGUAGCAAUUUCUGUCCAUGUAGGGUGACAGCUAUUGUGAUCCUAUAUAGUGUACACUAUCUUUUUAGAUUAGUUUAUCAGUAGCAUAAAUUUUGCAGGGGGUGAGGAGGUCCUGUACAAUUUCCAUGCAGGGACUGAGACCAAUUUUUUUGAGCUUAGUGGCUCACAAUGAUUCUUUAACUCUAGAAUUAUGCAGAAUGAAAAAUAGAGAAUUAAAAUAUAUUCUAAAAGCCAUCAUCAUUUUUACUUAUCAAAUUAGCAAAGUAAUGUAGUUAAUUAUAAUGAUAAUAAUCUAUGUCAAUAAUGACUCAGAAAGAUGUAACUGUUGUAUACACUUUUCUGGAAAGCCAUUAGGCAACGUAUGUCCAAAAUCUUAACCCUGACGACAGUAAAAGCUAUACGAUAUUUUUUAUGAGAGGUUUUCUUCUUUUUUUUAAAUCAGAAUUUAAGUUUAAGUUUUUUUUAUUAUUUUUUAUUUUUUUAAAGAUUGGCACCUGAGGUAACAUCUGUUGCCAAUAUCUCUUUUCUCCCCCCCUUCUUCCUUCUUCUUCUUCUUCUCUUUCUUCUUCUUCUCCUCCUCCUCCUCCUCCUCCUUCUUCUUCUCCCCACAGCCCCUCAGCACAUAGUUGUAUAUUCUAGUUGUAAGUCGCUCUGGUUGUGCUCUGUGGGACGCCACAUCAGCAUGGCUUGAUGAGCUGUGCCACAUCCAUGCCCAGCAUCAGAAUCAGCGAAACCCUGGGCCACUGAAAUGGAGUGAGUGAGCUUAAACACUGUGCCAUGGGGCUGGCCCUGAGAUUUUCUUCUUGCCUGGGAUUCUCAGGUUCAGAUCCUGGAUAGGGACCUAGGCACUGCUUAUCAAGCCAUGCUGCGGUUGUGUCCCACAUACAAAAUAGAGGAAUAUUGGCACAGAUGUUAGCUCAAGGACAAUCUUCCUCAAGCAAAAAGAGGAAGAUUGUGCAUCCUGAAACUACUGUCACAAAACCUAUCUUCCUGAAGGAGAGAGUCUCAUGACAGAAAAACUAAAAAACUAUCUAUAAAGAGUACCAUUGGCAGUGAAGUUUCAUGUCAUCUGGGCCACCCACUCACAGGAGAGCUGCUUUGCUUACCUAUUUGUCUUAGAUUUAAAAACAUGGCAGGUUUUUUUAAAAACUAAUUUAAAAAUAAAUAUUUUAUUGAAUUUGAUUUCAUGGUCAUUAUCCCUAAAUUGAAUAACAUCAAUAUGAAGCUCUGAGUUUUGAUGAAAUGUAUUCAAAACACAUACGAUAGUGCUGUUUUAGUAAAAUAUUGUAUUGGCAAGGUUCAAUGCAAUCAGCAGUAUGUUAAAUUUUCUAAACUUUUUAAUUCCAUCUAUUUUUUGGAAGAUUAAUCCUGAGCUAACUGCUGCCAAUCCUCCUCUAUUUGCUGAGGAAGACCGGCCCUGAACCAACAUCCGUGCCCAUCUUCCUCUACUUUACAUGUGGGACGCCUACCACAGCGUGGCUUGCCAAGUGGUGCCAUGUCCACACCCGGGAUCCGAACUGUCGAACCCAUGGCUGGCAAAGCAGAACGUGGGAACUUAACUGCUGCACCACUGGGCUUGCCCCUAAUUCCAUUGUUUUAAUCAAGGUGCCUCCAAGUGGAAUAACAGAUAUACUUAAUUGUUAUAUGAUAAGAUGUGGAAGGUCUUUUGGUAACCUUUUCAGAAAUUAAGAAAGUGAGUGUUUCUAAUGAUUGCAGAACAAACCACUCCAAAACAUAUUAAUUAAAAUCAACAACUAAAGAUUAUUGUGAGAAAUUGGCACGUAACUUGGAUGGAGUUGAAAGAGUUGAGUGAUAUUCCUAUUUUAGCACAAUCUCUGACAGUUUCUAGUCCCAUUUCCAUUUAAUAUGACCAAGCAGUCUCCGUAUUUUCACCUAUUAAAAAGUGGAAAUAGAAAUGAUGCUGAACCCUCUUGCUUUCUAACAUUGUGAUAUCUUUCCAAGGAUACAUUAAUUAAUUGAAAUAAAUAAUCCAAACAUAUAUUCAUAAUAUUUCUCACACAAAGAAUAUUUCCAGGGCUCAGCCCCAUGGCUGAGUGGUUAAAGUCCUGCGCACUCCACUUCAGCGGCCCAGGUUCACAGCCCAAAUCCUGGGCGCAAAUGUACUCCAGUCCCCAACCACACCGUGGAGGUAACCCACAUACAAAAAAAUAGAGGAAGAUUGGCACAGAUGUUAGCUCAGGCUUAUUCUUCCUCAGCAAAAUAAAAUAUUUCCAAAAAUAUUUUUUCAAUUUUGAUUGAUUAUAUUUUAUCCAAAUUUGCAAUGCAAUUAUAUUUUAAUUAGUGGUAUAAUUAUUAUUGAAUCAUUACAAGGUUAACUUAAUACAGAAAGAAAAACUUUUGAUUUUGCCAAAAGCAUUAUGAAAUAAAAAGUAUGAAUCUGAUUAAUAGCAUUGUAGUGAUCAAUGGGAGGAGUAGGAUUGAAUGUAAAUUCAGGAGAAGGAAAGGCACAAACAUGACUGUUUUGGAUGUCAUUUAUUUAUGUAUUCUAAAUGGAUAUGCAAUGGAAAUUACAGUUUUUGUUAUUUAAGUUUAUGAUGAAAUAUUGUAUAUGUAAAAUUAAAUUCUUCGAAUAUAUACCUUUUCAAAACUAAUUGAGAAGCGUAUGACCAAAAGAUGUGAAGACUACUAAUAUGAGUCAUGUUGUAUAUAGAAGCAACAGAAUCUACUAUAAAGAAUCUGAACUGUCACAACCUGAUAAUGGAAAACAUAUUGUAUGCCAGUGUUUAAUGGAAAGUGUGCUUCUGAUAUGUCUGGAGUCUUGAAUGAUUUCAUGAAUUCUAUCAACAAUUGCUUUUACAAUGUUGGCGAGGUCACUUAAGCAUCAUAGGCCUUGGUUUCUUCAAAGUAAAGGCAAACGGUUUGUGGUAAUUCUAUCAAAAAAUGUGCUCAUCCUUGGUGCAAGCAGGACAGAAGUAAAAUAAACUUCUCUAAAAAAAGGCAUUAACCAUUACGGAUUCAGUUUAAGAUUAAUAUAAAUAAUUUCUUAAUUUCAAAGAAAAUUAGAAAUUGCAUAAUUGCUAAAUGUAUAACAAAGAUAAAUUUGUAAAUAGCUAGAGAAACAGAAGUCAAUAGAAGAGAAAAGCAUUCCCUCAUCAGACAUCCAAUAUCUAAAACACUAUUUUAUUUUUCCAUAUAGAAUGGUUAUUUAAUUGAUUCCUUAUUAUAUAAUGUAUAUGAAUGGAACAUUUCAAUAAUGAACAUAAGGUUAAAAUAACAUGAACAUUCCAAAUAACUUUAUUGAAUCCAUAUAAAAUUGUUCCCCACGUUAGAUUUUCUUCCUUACUAAAAUACCUGGAAAUUUAUUUCUUCCAUUAUAUUGAUGAUUAGUUUGGAAUUUUAUCUAGACAUAUUGAUUAAAGAGAAGGAGAAGGACGUAUAAUUUAUUCAAGCAUAAGUGAGUUAUUAAUGUUAAAGAAAUCUAGAAUUUUUAAUUUACCAGAUCAAAUAGGUCUUAAUAGUAAUGAAUGCCUGCUUUUCAUUUUAUUUUGAAUAAAGUUAUAUAGGUGAUUUGUUUCCAACACUUGAGGUGACUCCAGACACUUUUUUUUUUUAAGAUGGGAGUUCAAUUGAGAAGGAUUCAGAAAUUACCCUCAUGUUCAGGAAAAAGAAUCAAGGAAUUGAUUAUGGUUUUCAUGUGUUUAUAGGCAGAAUGAAAGUAUGAAGUACAGAUUGGGUUGAUACCGUGCUUACUUUUUGCCUAUAAGAUUUCUUGAGAGGCAAUCUAUUAUUUCUAUGCCUCUGGUGGAGUCUAUCACAGCUUAUCAUCCUACCAUACUUGAGCUCCUUUGAAACACAUUCAGAAUAAAGGCCGUGUCUUAUCAACUUUCCAUUCAUGCCAAGUAACCUGUAUACACAAUAAUAUACACACACAUGUGCAUGUCAUAAAGUAUUCACUCAAUAAAAAAUUUGGUUCAUCAUUGACUCAGUAUUGCAUUUUGACUUUGCCAUGCUU
This is a long non-coding RNA of Equus caballus (horse), 6560 nucleotides long. NCBI's taxonomy places the organism in Eukaryota, Metazoa, Chordata, Mammalia, Perissodactyla, Equidae. The record is from Ensembl.